Molecule: ribosomal RNA, 189 nt
Filed under: uncultured marine bacterium
Lineage: Bacteria
Description: partial 16S ribosomal RNA
Rfam family: Bacterial small subunit ribosomal RNA
Source: RNAcentral
CCUACGGGAGGCAGCAGUGAGGAAUAUUGGACAAUGGACGAAAGUCUGAUCCAGCCAUGCCGCGUGCAGGAUGACUGCCCUAUGGGUUGUAAACUGCUUUUAUACAGGAAGAAACACUCCCUCGUGAGGGAGCUUGACGGUACUGUAAGAAUAAGGAUCGGCUAACUCCGUGCCAGCAGCCGCGGUAAU